Molecule: non-coding RNA, 20 nt
Filed under: Xenopus tropicalis (tropical clawed frog)
Lineage: Eukaryota; Metazoa; Chordata; Amphibia; Anura; Pipidae
Also listed under: 1 other name
Source: RNAcentral
AAUUGCACGGUAUCCAUCUG